CACCGACGGUGGACGGCCGCUCCUCGUGCUUGCACGGGGGGAGGAAAGUCCGGACUCCACAGGGCAGGAAGUCCCGCCCUACAGCGGGAUACCACGGACCAUAUGCCGUGGGAAGGAAAGUGCCGCAGAAAAUAUACCGCCCCUUCGGGGGUAAGGGUGAAAAGGUGGGGUAAGAGCCCACCGCCCGGUCCGGGAAACCACCGGGGCAGGGCAAACCCCUUCCGGCGCAAGACCAAAUAGGGGACGAUGAUGCGGCCCGCAUCGCUUGAGUCCCGGGUUCCGGUCGCUUAGAUGAAUGGUCGUCGUCCCGUCUCGGCGGGAAUACAGAAUCCGGCUUAUAGCCGUCGGUGACAC
RNAcentral lists this RNase P RNA (354 nucleotides) under Victivallales bacterium. RNAcentral's name for it is "RNase P RNA component class A". It matches the Rfam family "Bacterial RNase P class A". Rfam says of the family: Ribonuclease P (RNase P) is a ubiquitous endoribonuclease, found in archaea, bacteria and eukarya as well as chloroplasts and mitochondria. Its best characterised activity is the generation of mature 5'-ends of tRNAs by cleaving the 5'-leader elements of precursor-tRNAs. Cellular RNase Ps are ribonucleoproteins. The record is from RNAcentral. Lineage: Bacteria; Pseudomonadati; Lentisphaerota; Lentisphaeria; Victivallales.